AGUGAACGCUGGCGGUAGGCCUAACACAUGCAAGUCGAACGGCAGCACAGUAAGAGCUUGCUCUUACGGGUGGCGAGUGGCGGACGGGUGAGGAAUACAUCGGAAUCUACUUUUUCGUGGGGGAUAACGUAGGGAAACUUACGCUAAUACCGCAUACGACCUACGGGUGAAAGCAGGGGAUCUUCGGACCUUGCGCGAUUGAAUGAGCCGAUGUCGGAUUAGCUAGUUGGCGGGGUAAAGGCCCACCAAGGCGACGAUCCGUAGCUGGUCUGCGAGGAUGAUCAGCCACACUGGAACUGAGACACGGUCCAGACUCCUACGGGAGGAACCAGUGGGGAAUAUUGGACAAUGGGCGCAAGCCUGAUCCAGCCAUACCGCGUGGGUGAAGAAGGCCUUCGGGUUGUAAAGCCCUUUUGUUGGGAAAGAAAAGCAGCAGGUUAAUACCCCGCUGUUCUGACGGUACCCAAAGAAUAAGCACCGGCUAACUUCGUG
RNAcentral lists this ribosomal RNA (492 nucleotides) under uncultured bacterium. Its description in RNAcentral is "partial 16S ribosomal RNA". It matches the Rfam family "Bacterial small subunit ribosomal RNA", at positions 29 to 507 of the family's 1533-position model. The record is from RNAcentral.